Molecule: long non-coding RNA, 1744 nt
Organism: Lepidothrix coronata (blue-crowned manakin)
Lineage: Eukaryota; Metazoa; Chordata; Aves; Passeriformes; Pipridae
Exons: 3
Source: RefSeq, a predicted model, not a curated record
GUCCUUCUUUUUUUCCUAUAUAGUCCCUUUGGAUCAGGCUUUAAAGCUGACCAUCAGCUACCCAACUUCUAAGUACCCUCAGUGCACCAAGGUGCCCCCUCGAGUCUGAAGCUCUUGAGUGGAUGGAGUUGGCUCCUCACUACUUUAAUUCUCUCUCAUUUUCUGUGUCCUAGACACAGGACAGUGUCCUAGCACUGAGGGGAGUGGCAGGAGUUACAGCACCAAAACAAAGCUUGCAUCCUAUUGUGAUCACAGGCCCUGAAAAAUGUUCAGCUAUGGUUUGUCCCUUUGUUUUGGACCUGCCAAUCACACUGUGGGGCUGAGAUGCCUUGAGACAAUGGGGACUUGGUCUUACUACAAAUUUGCCUUAAUGGGCACUGAACAGCAGCUGGUCCCUACCCUAACCUGGAUGACAGAUAAACUGGUUUGGGUGGACCAGUGGCUAAUUAGAAAGGACAAGCUGCAACAUCUUCAAGCCCUUGUUCAAGAACAACUUUCAGCAGGACACAUUUGUGCUUCUACCAGUCCCUGGAAUUCCCCAGUGUUUGUGAUCCAAAAAAGAAGUGGCAAGUGGCCACUUGCCACUCUGGAACAGGGGUUUGAAUCACAUUUUCCCAGAUGCCUUAGCCACUAGCAAAUAGGUUUGCAAUGCUUCUUUGUCUGGUUCAGAGUCUGUUUUGCUAUUCAGACCAUGUUGAAAUGCCCUGGCAGGAAGAGAGCCUGGCUCUCAGUCCAGGACUAGCAGUCACCGGGUGCUCAGGGUUCUCUGCUGGUAAGGAAGAUCAUUCUCUGACUGAGAAGAAUCUGAUGAUUAUUCUGAAAUCCUCUCCCAUUGCAUCAGACAUGUGACUCCAUUGAAAAGUUCACAUCUGAGAAGACCCUGGGGAAGAAAUACAGAGGAAACAGUCCUGAUGGCUUCAGGAACACAGAAACCAAAACAAGACCUGCCAGCCUCAAACAACACCCUCUUUCUUCACAUUAGAAAUGGAAACACGUCCUCUGCAGGAAUUUUCCACUUAAUAGCUCCUGCUUUCCUACCGGGGGCCUCAGUGCACCACCACUGCAAUGCUGUAUUUCUUUCCACUGCAGUUUGACAUUUUGCAGCCAGAACAACGAACGGCAUUCACUCCAUCCUGAUUUUUGAAAAACAUAUCUCUAUAGGCCCACAGAACGCACCCAGUGCAGCAAUCACCAGGGGGAAAUGGCAAAGGUAUUUAAACAUCAUUACAUGUCACUGAGGAUAUGACAUUGUCUGGUAAUAAUGCUCUUUUAUGCAGUCGUUUUUUCUUAGUCCCCCAUUCCUCCCCCCUCCAACCCUUUAUACACACAGGCAGACACCAAAGCCUCUGCCCUGCUCUCCUAUUACCAGCCACUCUCAUGUUCUACACUUGAUUGCAAUUGUUUGCCGUUGUGAAUUAUUUCCUUUGCAUGGUAUUUGCAAACUGUGUAUCAGGUCCUGACACCGUGAAGAGCAGAAAUGCAGAUUGCAGAUAAUCUGAGCAGUAAACAAGAAGCCUGCUUUAAAAUGCGCUGAGUGACCUGUCUGAAAGCAGCAAUAUUUGCAGACUGUUUACUGCUGAGAUGCAGGGAUGUCGCUGAAAUGCAGCAGCCUGAAGACUGGAGCAAAAUGGGAUCUCAGACACUCGGUCAAGCACAACAUGUAAUUUUUUUAUUUGUUGCUUACAUUGUGCUUUUUCUAAAUUUGGAGCAGUAUUAUAAAUUAUUAAAAGCUAAUUUCCAAAAA